ACAUGCCUACAACAUAGCGUUAAUGCAAUGGAUCCCAUUAGAACUCCGCAGUUAUGCGUGCUCAGGCUAGAGUAGUACUGGGAUGGGUGAACGUCCGGGAAGUCCUAGUCUUUUACAUGCC
Molecule: non-coding RNA, 121 nt
Organism: Picea glauca (white spruce)
Lineage: Eukaryota; Viridiplantae; Streptophyta; Pinopsida; Pinales; Pinaceae
Source: Rfam